This 440-nucleotide ribosomal RNA is filed under the name uncultured bacterium. RNAcentral describes it as "partial 16S ribosomal RNA". It matches the Rfam family "Bacterial small subunit ribosomal RNA", at positions 338 to 795 of the family's 1533-position model. The record is from RNAcentral.
CCUACGGGGGGCAGCAGUGGGGGAUAUUGCACAAUGGGGGAAACCCUGAUGCAGCGACGCCGCGUGUGGGAAGACGGUCCUCUGGAUUGUAAACCACUGUCCCCAGGGACGAAGAUGACGGUACCUGGGGAGGAAGCUCCGGCUAACUACGUGCCAGCAGCCGCGGUAAUACGUAGGGAGCGAGCGUUGUCCGGAAUUACUGGGUGAAAAGGGAGCGUAGGCGGGACUGCAAGUUGGGUGUCAAAUCUACCGGCUCAACCGGUAGCCGCACUCCAAACUGCAGUUCUUGAGUGAAGUAGAGGCAGGCGGAAUUCCUAGGGUAGCGGUGAAAUGCGUAGAUAUUAGGAGGAACACCAGUGGCGAAGGCGGCCUGCUGGGCUUUUACUGAUGCUGAGGCUCGAAAGUGUGGGGAGCAAACAGGAUUAGAUACCCCAGUAGUC